Acanthosepion pharaonis is the source of this 101-nucleotide non-coding RNA. The record is from the annotation of a GenBank genome assembly. Lineage: Eukaryota; Metazoa; Mollusca; Cephalopoda; Sepiida; Sepiidae.
ACACCACGUUGAAACACCUGUUCCCGUACGAUCACCGAAGCAAUGACAGGCCUGGCCAGUACCUAGAUGGGUAACCGCUUGGGAAUAUCAGAUGAUGUAAG